CAGAUCCCACAUCACACCGCACGCUCUCCCUUUCUCCUCUCCUUCUUCUUCUCUCUCGCUCGCUCGGGUCGACGCCGGCUGUCAGUUUGUUUUGCCGCGGCGGAGCAACAACUUGCUUCUCUCUGCGCUCCGAGAACGGAAGAGUGGAAGGAGAGAAAGUGGUGGAGGACCGAGGGGAGGAGGUGAAGAUGAGAAAAGGAAGAGGAGGUGGGGAUCUUUUGUUACUCAUCCAUCCUCAUCCCCUCUCUUAGGGCAGCAUCAGCACCACUAACCUGCUCCAUCGCCGCCGGCUCCCCCGCCGCUGGAUCCUCCGUCUCCUGCCGGGAUCUGCCUCCUUCUUCUCCUCAGGGAGCUCUUCCUGGAAUUGGGAGGGGGAGGGAGAUCUCCCCCUCCCAGCCUGCUGCGGACUCUCGGCAAAAGGCGUCGGGAAAGGAAAGGGGAGGAAUUUUUUUCAAAAGAGGCCGUUGGGAGAGCAGAGGAGAGGCAACACCCUGGGUUACAGGAGAGAAGGAGAAGAGAGGACCUCACCAUGCCCGGGCUGCGCCCAGCGAUAGCGGCCGCGCGGGGGAGGACAGAUGUUGCCGGCGAACGCUCCCAGAAGACGGAGGCAGCGGCGUCCAGGUCGUGGUUGGUCCUCCCAAGGCAAAUUGGUCCCUCAGAGAACCCUUAUGCAGCAGCCACUUCAGAGGCAAGCUCUUUCUCCUGGGUGAGGGAGACCAGGACGCCCUCCUGCAGCCGGGCCUGGUGGGAUACUUGUCGGAACCACCAGGCCCAACACCAACUAACUUCUUGAGCAGCAGCAGCAAUGGAAACCCCCUGGGUGAAAGCACAGACAUUUUUGUAGCCAAUGGAGAAUGCAGACCUGUCAUUGGCCAUGUUGUGUUGGCGCUCUACUGUGUUUUUAAUCUUGCAUACCUUGUCACCUGAAAAACAUUUGUUUUUG
Gasterosteus aculeatus aculeatus (three-spined stickleback) is the source of this 943-nucleotide long non-coding RNA. Lineage: Eukaryota; Metazoa; Chordata; Actinopteri; Perciformes; Gasterosteidae. The record is from Ensembl.